AAGUGACAUUGGAAGGGGUAGGGGAAGAGGAAGAGGAAGGGGAAGGGGAAGAGGAGAGGGAAGAGGUCCAGGAGAGGCCAACAAUGAGACAAACACACCUGCAUCAGCAAGGGGAAGAGGAAGGAGCGGAAGAGGAGCAACUUCCGAGUGGCUUGCCACUUUGUUGGGUUUCAAUGCUUGACAUGUAGCUCACUACAAGUUGCUUAGGAAAUCCACUACUAGUACCUACUUUUGUUUGACAUGUCAUUUGGACAUAUGUGUUGGUGUUUGACAUGUUCUCUGGACCUCUAUGUUGUCAUCAAACAUGAUACUAAAAUGGCAUGUUAUAUGGAUUUAGUUUGUUAGUCUGAAUGCAAUAUUUGUCAAAUUAGUUUGCUA
Panicum virgatum (switchgrass) is the source of this 378-nucleotide long non-coding RNA. RefSeq lists it as uncharacterized. NCBI's taxonomy places the organism in Eukaryota, Viridiplantae, Streptophyta, Magnoliopsida, Poales, Poaceae. The record is from RefSeq and is a predicted model, not a curated record. The transcript is spliced from 2 exons.